RNAcentral lists this ribosomal RNA (531 nucleotides) under uncultured bacterium. Its description in RNAcentral is "bacterial SSU rRNA". It matches the Rfam family "Bacterial small subunit ribosomal RNA", at positions 1001 to 1532 of the family's 1533-position model. The record is from RNAcentral.
CAGAGAUGAGAAUGUGCCUUCGGGAACCGUGAGACAGGUGCUGCAUGGCUGUCGUCAGCUCGUGUUGUGAAAUGUUGGGUUAAGUCCCGCAACGAGCGCAACCCUUAUCCUUUGUUGCCAGCGGUCCGGCCGGGAACUCAAAGGAGACUGCCAGUGAUAAACUGGAGGAAGGUGGGGAUGACGUCAAGUCAUCAUGGCCCUUACGACCAGGGCUACACACGUGCUACAAUGGCGCAUACAAAGAGAAGCGACCUCGCGAGAGCAAGCGGACCUCAUAAAGUGCGUCGUAGUCCGGAUUGGAGUCUGCAACUCGACUCCAUGAAGUCGGAAUCGCUAGUAAUCGUGGAUCAGAAUGCCACGGUGAAUACGUUCCCGGGCCUUGUACACACCGCCCGUCACACCAUGGGAGUGGGUUGCAAAAGAAGUAGGUAGCUUAACCUUCGGGAGGGCGCUUACCACUUUGUGAUUCAUGACUGGGGUGAAGUCGUAACAAGGUAACCGUAGGGGAACCUGCGGCUGGAUCACCUCCUA